UGCCAGCAGCCGCGGUAAUACGGAGGGGGUUAGCGUUGUUCGGAAUUACUGGGCGUAAAGCGCAUGUAGGCGGAACAGAAAGUUAGAAGUGAAAUCCCUGGGCUCAACCUAGGAAUUGCUUUUAAAACUUCUGUUCUGGAAUUCAGGAGAGGAAAAUGGAAUAUCCAGUGUAGAGGUGAAAUUCGUAGAUAUUGGAUGGAACACCAGUGGCGAAGGCGAUUUUCUGGACUGAUAUUGACGCUGAGAUGCGAAGGCAUGGGUAGCGAAGAGGAUUAGAUA
RNAcentral lists this ribosomal RNA (279 nucleotides) under uncultured bacterium. Its description in RNAcentral is "partial 16S ribosomal RNA". It matches the Rfam family "Bacterial small subunit ribosomal RNA", at positions 506 to 784 of the family's 1533-position model. The record is from RNAcentral.